RNAcentral lists this long non-coding RNA (1546 nucleotides) under Cricetulus griseus (Chinese hamster). RNAcentral describes it as "lncRNA (ENSCGRG00015039842.1)". The record is from RNAcentral. Lineage: Eukaryota; Metazoa; Chordata; Mammalia; Rodentia; Cricetidae.
UCCCCUGAGGCUGAUCAAUCACACAAAGCUGGUUGAAGUUUCUGAGUUUGUGUGACCAUAGGGGGAUGAGGAGAGGAGGUUGAGGGAGCUGGCAAGCCCCAAAGGUCACAUAGGCCUGAGCCUCACAAAACGUCAGGAAAUGAAGCUGAGCCACAGAACCAACACAGAGGGACGGACGGCCUGGGGCUAUUGAGGAAAAAUAGGGAGUAGCUGGCUGAAGCCCAGAUCCUGGCCUCUCUGCAUAGCCCUAGGCUUUGGCCUUUUCCUGUCUGAGCACUUUUGGCUGACCUGCCUCCAAGCUGGACCACCACUGGCCAGCUCUCAUGAGCUCCAGGAGUUGUAUGCUGUGACUAUCCAGGAGCAAGCCUGCUCCGCGGUGGAGACGUUCAGACCCAGAAAAGCUCUGGGGAGAAUUAGUAGCAAUACUGUGAGGACACAUUCUGAGGUUGUAUCCUCAGCCUGGGAAGCAGGGCUGAGGGGACAGCUGUAGAUGAGCAGUCAGCAUUGCAGCUUCAUCAGCUAAAAGUGAUUUCACACAAAAUAAUGUGUCAGAGAUAAUUGCUCCUGGGAACAGAUCCCAAUUCCAGCCCGCAAUCAAAGAGCAGGUCAUGGCUGCCACUGGGUUUGCACCCACCUGAGGUCAGGAUGAAGGUUCCGGAAGCAGAGAGACAGGUCCUGCUGCUACAAUCCUCCCCUGCACUAAAGGGCUUCCUCAAGAAAGGUCUCUGAGUGCAGAAAGGGCUUGAGACAUAAGGAAACCUGUACCUGGUAACAGAAAACAAAUGUGAGAGCUGGGUGUGGUGCACACCUGUAAUCCCAGUACUGGAGCGGCAGAAACAGCAGGAGAAUCCAAAGCUCAAGGGCACCCAUCCAUCACUGCCCACAUAAGGAUAUGGCCAGGAUAGGUUACCGAGAGGGAAGAGAAACAAGGCAGGGAAGGGAGGAGGAAAUUCGGGGGUGGGUGGCUUAAAUGGUAGGAGGAUGUCCCCCACUAUAAUCAAGAGUGUGAAGGCAGAAAGGUCUGGGCUUCUGCAGCAGCAAUUCUGAUAUUUGACAGGUGUACAUUUGUACCCCAGGCUGGCCUGGAACUCCCUAAGUGGCUGAGGGUGACCUUGAACUUCUGAUCCUACUGCCUUCAUCUUCCCAGUGCUGGGAUUAAAGUUGUGUUCCCCAUGCUAGGUGGUGCUGCGCUGGGGACCAAGCACAGCGUUGUAUCCUGGGCAAGUGUCCUAACAAGAGCCCUCAGAGUUCAGAAGAGGCAGGGAUCCUCCUAGAACUGGAGUUACGGAGGGUUGUGAGCCACCUGUGGGUCCUAAGGGACAGAGCCUGGGUCCUCCAGAAUCUCUGUGUAGCCUCGGUUGUCCUGGAACUCCAUCUGUAGACCAGGCUGGCAGUGAACCCACAGCAAUCUGCGUGUCUCUGUCUCCCAAGUGCUGGGAUUAAAAGUGUGUGCCACCACUGCCUGGCUCUUUUGUUUUGUUUUGUUUCUGAGGCAGGGUCUCUCUUUGUAGCCCUGCCUGGCCUGGAACAACCCGGACUGGCCUUG